UCACCGCGGCCCAAAGUACGAGGGCUCCUAUUGGCCAGCGAGGAGCCCCGCCCUGACUGAUGGCAGCCUGCAGGAUGACUCAGUGCGGGACUUUCCAUGGAGCCGCCUGACCAGGUGACUUUUCCAAGUGAACCUGGAUAAAAAACCUCAGUCAUGGUGACCAAGCAACGUUGGGUGACGUCAUCUGUCAUGCGCAGACUCACCGGGCAAAGAGGGCUGGGUCGCGGAGGCAGCAGUCUAAGCAAAGAUGUUCAGACCUCCUGAUCCACACACACUUCCUCCAGCUGCUCUUGGAGACCCUGAGGCAACACCAGGCCAGCUCAGAGACAUGGUCCCUCCAGUGUGUCGUGGGCCUUCCAUGAGGCCUCCUCCCAAUAGGACAUGGAAGGAACACCUCCUGAGUAAGGCGACCACCUCAGCUGGCUCCUUUCGACGUGGAGGAGCAACGACUCUACUCCGAGCUCCUCACCCGAUCUCGAAGAAAAGGAGGAGGGGAAAAGUACAACUGAGGAGCGAAAACAUUAACAUCAAGGAACACUUUCACAUGAAGCCAUGGCCCAAAAAUCAGAUAAAUACAAAUUUAUCUCAUCUAA
Molecule: long non-coding RNA, 593 nt
Organism: Cyprinodon tularosa
Lineage: Eukaryota; Metazoa; Chordata; Actinopteri; Cyprinodontiformes; Cyprinodontidae
Exons: 3
Source: RefSeq, a predicted model, not a curated record